Molecule: long non-coding RNA, 303 nt
Filed under: Salvia miltiorrhiza (redroot sage)
Lineage: Eukaryota; Viridiplantae; Streptophyta; Magnoliopsida; Lamiales; Lamiaceae
Description: long non-coding RNA (SMIL_LNC000166)
Source: RNAcentral
UUUGUGUUUUCUUAGGUUUUAGGUUCUUUUCUUGUGUUAUUUAAUAAAAUUUCAAUUUCAGCAGUCUUGACCCUUCUGUGGAUGUAGGCUAUUGCCGAACCACGUAAAUUCCUCUACGUAUUUUCAUUUGGUUUCGUUCUUGUUCGAACCAUUUUUUUUACCUCAGUUCUUGAGCUAAGUUUAACAUGUGUUUUUUUUUCUUUUGUUUUAUUUGUAUAUUUUUUAUGAAUUACGUAAGUAAAUAAAUAAAUAAAAAGUAAAGACUGUGCGACGGAUGACUCGAACCCAGGACCUCAGGUCUUG